RNAcentral lists this ribosomal RNA (253 nucleotides) under uncultured bacterium. RNAcentral's name for it is "partial 16S ribosomal RNA". It matches the Rfam family "Bacterial small subunit ribosomal RNA", at positions 524 to 776 of the family's 1533-position model. The record is from RNAcentral.
UACGUAGGGGGCAAGCGUUGUCCGGAAUCAUUGGGCGUAAAGAGCGUGUAGGCGGCCAGGUAGGUCUGCUGUGAAAACUCGAGGCUUAACCUCGAGCUGUCGGCGGAAACCAUCUGGCUAGAGUCCGGAAGAGGAGAAUGGAAUUCCCGGUGUAGCGGUGAAAUGCGUAGAUAUCUGCAGGAACACCCGUGGCGAAAGCGGCGAGCUGGAUCACUACUGACGCUGAGGUGCGAAAGCGUGGGGAGCAAACAGG